UACAGAGGUCUCAAGCGUUGUUCGGAUUCAUUGGGCGUAAAGGGUGCGUAGGUGGCGUCGUAAGUCAGGUGUGAAAUCUCGGAGCUUAACUCCGAAACUGCAUUUGAUACUGCGGUGCUUGAGGACUGGAGAGGAGACUGGAAUUUACGGUGUAGCAGUGAAAUGCGUAGAGAUCGUAAGGAAGACCAGUGGCGAAGGCGGGUCUCUGGACAGUUCCUGACACUGAGGCGCGAAAGCCAGGGGAGCAAACGGG
RNAcentral lists this ribosomal RNA (253 nucleotides) under uncultured bacterium. RNAcentral describes it as "partial 16S ribosomal RNA". It matches the Rfam family "Bacterial small subunit ribosomal RNA", at positions 524 to 776 of the family's 1533-position model. The record is from RNAcentral.